GGUUAAGCGACUAAGCGUACACGGUGGAUGCCCUGGCAGUCAGAGGCGAUGAAGGACGUGCUAAUCUGCGAUAAGCGUCGGUAAGGUGAUAUGAACCGUUAUAACCGGCGAUUUCCGAAUGGGGAAACCCAGUGUGAUUCGUCACACUAUCAUUAACUGAAUCCAUAGGUUAAUGAGGCGAACCGGGGGAACUGAAACAUCUAAGUACCCCGAGGAAAAGAAAUCAACCGAGAUUCCCCCAGUAGCGGCGAGCGAACGGGGAGCAGCCCAGAGCCUGAAUCAGUGUGUGUGUUAGUGGAAGCGUCUGGAAAGGCGCGCGAUACAGGGUGACAGCCCCGUACACAAAAAUGCACAUGCUGUGAGCUCGAUGAGUAGGGCGGGACACGUGGUAUCCUGUCUGAAUAUGGGGGGACCAUCCUCCAAGGCUAAAUACUCCUGACUGACCGAUAGUGAACCAGUACCGUGAGGGAAAGGCGAAAAGAACCCCGGCGAGGGGAGUGAAAAAGAACCUGAAACCGUGUACGUACAAGCAGUGGGAGCACGCUUAGGCGUGUGACUGCGUACCUUUUGUAUAAUGGGUCAGCGACUUAUAUUCUGUAGCAAGGUUAACCGAAUAGGGGAGCCGAAGG
This 629-nucleotide ribosomal RNA is filed under the name Escherichia coli. RNAcentral's name for it is "partial 23S ribosomal RNA". It matches the Rfam family "Bacterial large subunit ribosomal RNA", at positions 1 to 672 of the family's 2925-position model. Lineage: Bacteria; Pseudomonadati; Pseudomonadota; Gammaproteobacteria; Enterobacterales; Enterobacteriaceae. The record is from RNAcentral.